CCUACGGGAGGCAGCAGUGGGGAAUAUUGCACAAUGGGGGAAACCCUGAUGCAGCGACGCCGCGUGAGUGAGGAAGGCUUUCGGUAUGUAAAGCUCUAUCAACAGGGAAGUAAAUGACGGUACGUGACUAAGAAGCCCCGGCGAACUUCGUGCCAGCAGCCGCGGUAAUACGUAGGGGGCAAGCGUUAUCCGGAUUUACUGGGUGUAAAGGGAGCGUAGACGGCUUAUCAAGUCAGAAGUGAAAACCCACGGCUCAACCUUGGGACUGCUUUUGAAACUGGGUAGCUAGAGUGCAGGAGAGGUAAGCGGAAUUCCUGGUGUAGCGGUGAAAUGCGUAGAUAUUAGGAGGAACACCAGUGGCGAAGGCGGCUUACUGAACUGUAACUGACAUUGAGGCUCGAAAGCGUGGGGAGCAAACAGGAUUAGAUACCCUAGUAGUC
Molecule: ribosomal RNA, 440 nt
Filed under: uncultured bacterium
Lineage: Bacteria
Description: partial 16S ribosomal RNA
Rfam family: Bacterial small subunit ribosomal RNA
Source: RNAcentral